This 475-nucleotide ribosomal RNA is filed under the name uncultured Planctomycetota bacterium. RNAcentral's name for it is "bacterial SSU rRNA". It matches the Rfam family "Bacterial small subunit ribosomal RNA", at positions 355 to 825 of the family's 1533-position model. Lineage: Bacteria; Pseudomonadati; Planctomycetota. The record is from RNAcentral.
UCGAGAAUCUUCGGCAAUGGGCGCAAGCCUGACCGAGCGACGCCGCGUGUGGGAUGAAGGCCCUUGGGUUGUAAACCACUGUCAGAGGGGAUGAAGUGCCGGAGAGCAAUCUCUCCGGUUUGACAUAGCCUCAGAGGAAGCACGGGCUAAGUUCGUGCCAGCAGCCGCGGUAAUACGAACUGUGCAAACGUUAUUCGGAUUCACUGGGCUUACAGGGUGCGUAGGCGGCCUGUUAAGUAGGGUGUGAAAGCCCCCGGCUCAACCGGGGAAUGGCGCCCUAAACUGGCGGGCUGGAGUGAGAUAAGGGUGUGUGGAACUUCCGGUGGAGCGGUGAAAUGUGUUGAUAUCGGAAGGAACGCCGGUGGCGAAAGCGACACACUGGGUCUCAACUGACGCUGAGGCACGAAAGCCAGGGGAGCGAACGGGAUUAGAUACCCCGGUAGUCCUGGCUGUAAACGAUGAGCACUAGCUGGGA